UUGGUUGAUCAUGUUUUUUGUUUUGUUUUGAAAGAUGGUUCAUCAUGCUAAGUGUCCCCCUCAAACUAAAUGCAUAUGAUAUGAUACAACUAUUUUCUUCUUUGCGCUUAGAUAAAUUGCAAACCUACCUAAGAUUCAAUUCCUUCUACCACCAUCUUAAUCCUUAUUCAAUAAACCUACCUAAGAUCAGCCAUAAGAUUUAAAUCAAUAUUGACAUUCGUUUCCAUUAUUCAAUCUAGACAAAGGCUGCCAUAAACUCAGUUUGAUUAUAGAUAUAGUAUAUGGUCGAUCUGCAAGGAGCAACUUGAUGCAGCUUCAGCUGUUGAUAAUUUUUAUUUUUUCCACCGUAAUUUCCUUGAUUAAUUCGAAGAAGCGCUAGAAGCAAACAGAAAAAUAAUGGUACAGCAAAGAGAAAAUAAAGACAACUAUUACAAGGAGUUAAAAGGAUUUAGUCACCAUAUGAUAGUCAAAAGCAAGGAAGUAAUUUUUUCCAUUCAACCAGUCAAAAGAUUGCGCAUAUGUUUUCAAGCAAGUGGUGGAUAUUAUCACUCUUAUUUUUGAAGAUUCUUGCAUUUCAUUUUUCCAUAACACCAAAACUGGACAAAACCAAAUUAAGCGAAUAAUCUUGCGCUUGUGUGCAGAGAAACCUCCAAAGGAUCCGAACUGAGAUAAAUGAUCUACAAUUCGGAACUGAGUAACCAUGGUGAAGUCUAACCAAUCGGAAACAACGAUCCAAAUUUGACGGAAAAAGUCAUAGUGAAGAAAAAGAUGAGUUGAGUCUUUUAGAUUACCACACCCCUCUUAUACAAGAUUGAUUGAGAAGUAGUCGGUAUCACCCCUCUCUUUUUUUAAUGAGCCAUCGAUCACACACCUUUGUAAUGUGUAAUCAAUUCAAGAGUAAAUGCCUCGUUGGUGUAAAAAAAAAAAUAGUAAAUGUCAUAUAAACAAAGUUCCUUAAACCCA
Molecule: long non-coding RNA, 963 nt
Organism: Medicago truncatula (barrel medic)
Lineage: Eukaryota; Viridiplantae; Streptophyta; Magnoliopsida; Fabales; Fabaceae
Exons: 3
Source: RefSeq, a predicted model, not a curated record